RNAcentral lists this long non-coding RNA (2262 nucleotides) under Strigops habroptila (Kakapo). RNAcentral describes it as "lncRNA (ENSSHBG00005021286.1)". Lineage: Eukaryota; Metazoa; Chordata; Aves; Psittaciformes; Psittacidae. The record is from RNAcentral.
AAAAGGCCUUAAAGUUACUAGUGAGGGCUCAAAACAGGCUGGGACAUCCUAGUAUGUCAUGGCACAGGCAUCCUGCUAUGUACCUGCUGCUGUUCUUUUCUAUUGCUGUUUGAAAAAGCAGGUACUUCAGUGGGAGCUGUGAAGCUUAAGACGACAGUCCCUCUUCUCCUCAGCCUGUCCCUAUUGCAGUGCCUGAUUCCUGAGGACAUCCAUGCCAAUGCAACCUGUCCAGGACCUUUUGCUUUUCAUCUUCUGCCUUUGCCUCCCCUCCUCCUGCCCCAGGUAAACAGAAGGAAACUCUUCUUUGGGUCACAGAGAGAGCCUCCACUGUGCCUGACAGCUGACCUGCUUUUAAGAUGCAGCUAUUGCAGCUCCACACAGUUCCUGCAGUGACAUCUCUGGCUGCCCCCAUCCAGUGACUUUCUCUGUGUGGACAAGAGAACCCCCCCCCCUUGAUUUCAGAUCAGAUGAACAGAGUUAAAAAGAAUUAAUCUUAAUUGGAUUUGUUGGGGUUUAACUCAAAACCCUCUUGUGUAGGAGCUACAAGAAAGGGAUGAAGGCUCAAAAUGCUCAUCCCAUGUCUUCUGGAAAGAACUUGAACACAAUUAAAGCAAAACAGCAGCAGAAACCAGGUGUUCUCUUCUCCUUUUCCCUUUGCUCUCCUUAGCCUCACCUCUUUCGUCCUGCUCUUUCUUUUUCCUUGGAAAAAUGAAACAGAGAGAAAGGGCUUGAGGGGAUGUGCAGGGCCAGGACUGAACAACAGUCCCGUUGUGUUCAGUUUCAGCUAUGCCCAGCAGAGGACAGUCAAAUAUCAUUAAUGGUAUCACCGACGAGAAGGAGCAAGGAGAACAUCCUUCCCCACCAAGGCAGAGCCGCUGGGCUGGGGGAAGUUAUAGCGACUUGUUCACCCAUCUAUGCUCCAUGAAUAUGGCCCCUGCUGCACGGGGAUGGAUUUCAGAGUGAGUGAGGAGCCAGAAGGUGUGGGACAAGCAGCUCCGGUGCAGAGAAGAGAACCAGAGGGGCUGUAGCAUCACUGCAACGUGGCCCUCCCAAACCUUCUCAAGGGAAGAGUUAAUCUGGGGAUGCUGUCCUAUCUUAAUGCCCCUUGAGUACCAUAUGGAAUCCCACACUGGUCUGGGUUGGAAGAGACCUUAAAGCUCAUCCAGUCCCAACCCCCUGCCACGGACAGGGACACCUUCCACUAGAGCAGGUUGCUCCAAGCCCCUGUGUCCAACCUGGCCUUGAACACUGACAGGGAUGAGGCUUUUGUCUCCCUAGGUUUUCUGUGCAGCUACUCAGAAGAGAGGAUACCCUGGAGGCCAACUCUGACUGAACCCAAAUAAAUCCAUUUCUCUUUUCACCAGCAUAUUCAGCCUUCGUGACUACUUCUCCAGAACAUAACAACAAAUGACUUUGUAGCUAGUAUUUAAAUUUCCCAAUUUCAGGCAUUCAAUUUGAUCCAUUUUUCCAUGUUUUUAUGAUCAUUUCUAAGGGCUUCAGAAAGUCAUUCUUGUUUCCUGUUACCGCCACUGGUUGAACUCAAGAACUGACCAACUGCCACUCUCUCAGAAAUACAUAGAGCCACGCUGCCCCUUAAGCAGAACAGAGUCCCAGGCCCCUGCCUCACUUCCUGGGAGAAGGAGAGCUCAUUGGCCACAACACAUCUGUAAGUAACAGAGCUGAGAGUGGGUCACUUACCAGCAGGGGAAACUGAGGCAGAGAACGACCACUGCUCCUCUCCCCGAGCUGUUCAGUCUCCACCUCGCUCCAGGGUGCAGUCACCUCAGCCUGAGCUUUGGCAGCAAACCCUUAAAUCUCUGCUUUUAAACACCUGCCAACAGACAGGAGCCAAAAUCCCUUCUCUGCCCUUGCAGAAAGGAGGCACAAACUGAUGGUCAAAUGGUUGAUGCUGCAAGGGCUGGAGCAGCUCUGCUCUGGAGCCAGGCUGAGAGAGCUGGGCUGGGUCAGCCUGGAGAAGAGAAGACACCUUAAGGGGAGACCUUAGAGCAGCUCUAGUGCCUAAAGGAGCUUCAGGAAACCUGGAGAGGGGCUUUGGACAAGAGCCUGGAGGGACAGGACAAGGGGAAUGGCUUUAACCCGCCAGAGGGGAGAUGGAGAUGAGCUCUUGGGCAGAAGCUCUUCCCUGUGAGGGUGCUGAGGCGCUGGCACAGACUUUUCCCAGAGAAGCUGUGGCUGCCCCAUCCCUGGCAGUGUUCAUGGCGAGGGGCAACACUGAGGUUCUCCCACUGCCAUGGGAGCUCC